GAUGAACGCUGGCGGCGUGCCUAAUACAUGCAAGUCGAGCGAACAGACGAGGAUCUUGCUCCUCUGACGUUAGCGGCGGACGGGUGAGUAACACGUGGAUACCCGACAUAUAGGACUGGGAUAACUUCGGGAACCCGAAUAAAGAACGGGUAAUACAGUAGAAAGCAUGGGUCAAUUGGGCAAGGCGGUUUUUGAUGUACCUAUAUAGGGGUCCCGGGCGCGUUAGCUAGUUGGUAAGGUAACGGCUUACCAAGGGAACGAUUGGGAGCCGAACUGAGAGGGUGAUCGGCCACACUGGAACUGAGACACGGUCCAGACUCCUACGGGAGGCAGCAGUAGGGAAUCUUACGCAAUGGGCGAAAGCCUGACGGAGCAACGCCGCGUGAGUGAUGAAGGUCUUCGGAUCGUAAAACUCUGUUAUUAGGGAAGAACAAAUGUGUAAGUAAACAUGCCCGUCUUGACGGUACCGAAUCAGAAAGCCACGGCUAACUACGUG
RNAcentral lists this ribosomal RNA (496 nucleotides) under uncultured bacterium. RNAcentral's name for it is "partial 16S ribosomal RNA". It matches the Rfam family "Bacterial small subunit ribosomal RNA", at positions 28 to 507 of the family's 1533-position model. The record is from RNAcentral.